UGGCGCUGGCGGCAUGCCUUACACAUGCAAGUCGAACCUUUACAGGUCUUCGGAUGCUGACGAGUGGCGAACGGGUGAGUAAUACAUCGGAACGUGCCCAGUAAUGGGGGAUAGCUCGGCGAAAGCCGGAUUAAUACCGCAUACGCCCUGAGGGGGAAAGUGGGGGACCGCAAGGCCUCACGUUAUUGGAGCGGCCGAUGGCUGAUUAGCUAGUUGGUAGGGUAAAGGCCUACCAAGGCGACGAUCAGUAGCUGGUCUGAGAGGACGAUCAGCCACACUGGGACUGAGACACGGCCCAGACUCCUACGGGAGGCAGCAGUGGGGAAUUUUGGACAAUGGGGGAAACCCUGAUCCAGCAAUGCCGCGUGUGCGAAGAAGGCCUUCGGGUUGUAAAGCACUUUUGUCAGGGAAGAAAUCCUUUGGGCUAAUACCCUAGGGGGAUGACAGUACCUGAAGAAUAAGCACCGGCUAACUACGUGCCAGCAGCCGCGGUAAUACGUAGGGUACAAGCGUUAAUCGGAAUUACUGGGCGUAAAGCGUGCGCAGGCGGUUGUGUAAGACAGGUGUGAAAUCCCCGGGCUUAACCUGGGAAUUGCAUUUGUGACUGCACGACUAGAGUGUGUCAGAGGGGGGUGGAAUUCCACGUGUAGCAGUGAAGUGCGUAGAUAUGUGGAGGAACACCAAUGGCGAAGGCAGCCCCCUGGGAUAACACUGACGCUCAUGCACGAAAGCGUG
This 735-nucleotide ribosomal RNA is filed under the name uncultured organism. RNAcentral's name for it is "SSU rRNA". It matches the Rfam family "Bacterial small subunit ribosomal RNA", at positions 31 to 763 of the family's 1533-position model. The record is from RNAcentral.